UGAGGAAUAUUGGUCAAUGGGCGAUAGCCUGAACCAGCCAUGCCGCGUGCAGGAAGACGGCCCUAUGGGUUGUAAACUGCUUUUCUGUCGGAAGAAAGUGGUGUACGUGUACGCCAUUGACGGUACGACAGGAAUAAGCAUCGGCUAACUCCGUGCCAGCAGCCGCGGUAAUACGGAGGAUGCAAGCGUUAUCCGGAUUCAUUGGGUUUAAAGGGUGCGUAGGCGGUGGAAUAAGUCAGUGGUGAAAGCCCGGGGCUCAACUCCGGGAUUGCCAUUGAAACUGUUUCACUUGAGUGUAGUCGAGGACGGCGGAAUGAGUUAUGUAGCGGUGAAAUGCAUAGAUAUAACUCAGAACACCGAUUGCGAAGGCAGCUGUCUAGGCUACAACUGACGCUGAGGCACGAAAGCGUGGGGAGCGAACA
Molecule: ribosomal RNA, 422 nt
Filed under: uncultured bacterium
Lineage: Bacteria
Description: bacterial SSU rRNA
Rfam family: Bacterial small subunit ribosomal RNA
Source: RNAcentral